CUUAGGGUUAGGGGUAGGGUUAGGGGUAGAGGUAGGCUAGGGGGAGGGUUAGGUUAAGGUUAGGUGUAGGGUUAGGGUAGGGUUUGGUGUAGGGUUAGGGUUACCCUACCCUAACCCUACUCCAACCACUAACCCUUCCCCAACCCGUAACACUACCCCAACCCUUAACCCUACCCCUAAACCGAACCUUAUCCCUACCCUUACCCUACUCCAACCACUAACCCUUCCCCAACCCCUAUCCCUAACUCUACCUCAACCCUACCCCUAAACCUAACCUUAACCCUACCCCUAACCCUACUUCUUCCCUAACCACUAA
Pelobates cultripes (western spadefoot toad) is the source of this 316-nucleotide non-coding RNA. NCBI's taxonomy places the organism in Eukaryota, Metazoa, Chordata, Amphibia, Anura, Pelobatidae. The record is from the annotation of a GenBank genome assembly.